Molecule: long non-coding RNA, 2029 nt
Organism: Canis lupus familiaris (dog)
Lineage: Eukaryota; Metazoa; Chordata; Mammalia; Carnivora; Canidae
Exons: 6
Source: RefSeq, a predicted model, not a curated record
UGGCUGUGAAGUAAAAUAAACAACAGAAGACAAAACCAACCUGUGGCCUGUGGAAGGUUCAGAGUCUAAAUUGACUGUGGUUUUAUUUUUAUUUGUUGACUCAGGCUUUAUGACACCAGAGUUCUCCAGCUUGAAGGUUCUAUGACUCUGGGCCCCUUGGAGAUCUGAAGUUUUGUGGCUAAGGCCCUUGAUGUUUAUUUACAGUCCCGUUGUCCCAUGUUCAACGUUUCUAGUACUCUGUGAUUUCAGGUCUUCAUGGCUCCUGAUGUGCAAGGUUCCAGGACCUUUGGGUAGGCCUUGGCCUAUAAGAUCCAAGAGUGAUGGGAGGUAGAGUCUCUGGUCCCAGAGGACCACUGUUCCAGCACUCUCUGCUUUCUGAGCCUUCUAAAACAAGCUACAAAAGGUGGGAGGCCUCUGGGGGCAAAGUAAUGAAUAAAAUAGUCCUCGCAAAUCUUGACAAAAAGAAGUGAAACCAACAGGAACCAUGAGAGACGGUCUAAAUCAGGCUGUCAGCCCAGGGCCUGCCCCAGAGCUGUGGAGUGAAUGAGACUGGCUUGUGGCCCAAGGCUCCAAGGAUCAGGAUCUCUGUAAUAUGUGAGUUCCUGUCCAUGAGAGCUGACUUGCACAGUCUUGAGAGCCCCUGGGGACAUUUUGCCUGGGCUCCAGGAACUGUACUCUCUGAUCACAAGGCUGGACAUACUACCUCCUCCUCUCUCAGGGGGGAAGAAGGCUAAGGAAGGAUAUCUUACUCUUUCCCUCCACUCCAGCCUUUGAGUUAAUUCACAAGUGCAUGUGCAGGCUCUGUCUCCACUUUCUCCUGGCACUCUACAGCAGGUCUCCAAAGCCUGAGUCGUCCACCCUGCAACUGCCCAAGCCCACGGCAGAGCCCAGCUGCCCUGCUAUUCCUCCCAUAACCUGGGAAAAACAGAUGAACAACUUGCAGAAGCUGGAUUACCGGCCAGUCCUGUCUGACUCCAGAGCCCAUGUUCCUUCCAUUCCUCCCAGCUCCCUCACCUGCACAUCUCCAAUGACAUCCUCCAUGACUACAUCGUACUGGACCACAAAGUGAGCCAUGAUACCUGAGCUGGAGAAGGCAGACUGGUCUUGCAGUGUUGGGCAGAAGUCUUAAUUUUUCAGGGAAAGAGAGGAUUUGCAAUAAUGCCAUCAACUCCACACCACCUGGUUACUCCCCGACUGCCCGACUGGGACCCUUCCCGGGCGUUCUGCCCCACCAGCCAGUGAGGACAAGAAUUCUUCUGCUGUCCAGCUCUGGAACACCUGGACCUGCCCUGGCAAGGGACUUGCUCACAGAGCCUGACCAAGCACGAAGCAUUGACCAGGAGCCCUGGGACCCCCGGGCCUUGCAAGGGCUUCAUAGUGCCCACCAGGCCUGCACUGGCGCAUCCAGUCCCCUACCCAAGCAUGAGUGCAUCUUCCCAGACAUUUUGCCACCCACUUGCCCCACCACACUCCUCAGCCUCUACUGCGGUGACCCCGUAAAUGUCAAAAGAUACACCUGCAUGAGGUAUGGCCAAAGUGGUGCUAGGGCAGCCUUUGAGAACAUGAUUUUUACUAGUAUUGACAAAAGAAAAGCAAGGGGGUAGGGUUCCCCAGAAACAAUGAAACAACACCCCCCCCCAUCUGCUCCUCACAUCUCCUCAGUGUUCUCACGUGAGAAGACACUAAGAAAGCUAAAACUUCCUGCCCCUUCUUGGCAAGUGAAGAGGAUCUUCCAGAACUUCAUGAGUGUAGCUGCAAAACUAGCAGGACUCCAGGAGUAGGACCUUUCAACCCUGUUUUCCCUCUAGAGUGGAGAAGACUCUGUGUACUUUAUUUUGUAAGAUAAAAUAUAGGUGCAAAUGAUGAAGGGCACCUCUUGCCAUAGCCCCCUUCUCAGCCCUGUGCAGGUGUCUUGUCCAGAGCCCCGGGCCUCAGUUUCUGGCACCCUUUUGCCCCAAGCAGCCAGUGCUACACCAGCCUUGGGGACAAUGGGGACAAGAUUCUGCCCACAGGAGUUUACGGUCAUGGU